AUUGAACGCUGGCGGCAUGCCUUACACAUGCAAGUCGAACGGUAACGGGCCUUCGGGUGCCGACGAGUGGCGAACGGGGGAGUAAUACAUCGGAACGUGCCCGAUCGUGGGGGAUAACGAGGCGAAAGCUUUGCUAAUACCGCAUACGAUCUACGGAUGAAAGCCGGGGACCGCAAGGCCUUGCGCGGGCGGAGCGGCCGAUGGCAGAUUAGGUAGUUGGUGGGAUAAAAGCUUACCAAGCCGACGAUCUGUAGCUGGUCUGAGAGGAUGAUCAGCCACACUGGGACUGAGACACGGCCCAGACUCCUACGGGAGGCAGCAGUGGGGAAUUUUGGACAAUGGGCGCAAGCCUGAUCCAGCCAUGCCGCGUGCAGGAUGAAGGCCUUCGGGUUGUAAACUGCUUUUGUACGGAACGAAAAGCCUUCUUUUAAUACAGGAGGGUCAUGACGGUACCGUAAGAAUAAGCACCGGCUAACUACGUG
RNAcentral lists this ribosomal RNA (482 nucleotides) under uncultured bacterium. RNAcentral's name for it is "partial 16S ribosomal RNA". It matches the Rfam family "Bacterial small subunit ribosomal RNA", at positions 30 to 507 of the family's 1533-position model. The record is from RNAcentral.